RNAcentral lists this ribosomal RNA (401 nucleotides) under uncultured bacterium. RNAcentral describes it as "bacterial SSU rRNA". It matches the Rfam family "Bacterial small subunit ribosomal RNA", at positions 30 to 431 of the family's 1533-position model. The record is from RNAcentral.
AUUGAACGCUGGCGGCAUGCCUUACACAUGCAAGUCGAACGGCAGCACGGGGGCAACCCUGGUGGCGAGUGGCGAACGGGUGAGUAACAUAUCGGAACAUACCCUAGAGUGGGGGAUAACGUAGCGAAAGUUACGCUAAUACCGCAUACGAUCUAAGGAUGAAAGUGGGGGAUCUUCGGACCUCAUGCUCAUGGAGUGGCCGAUAUCUGAUUAGCUAGUUGGUGAGGUAAAGGCUCACCAAGGCGACGAUCAGUAGCUGGUUUGAGAGAACGACCAGCCACACUGGAACUGAGACACGGUCCAGACUCCUACGGGAGGCAGCAGUGGGGAAUUUUGGACAAUGGGGGCAACCCUGAUCCAGCAAUGCCGCGUGAGUGAAGAAGGCCUUCGGGUUGUAAAGG